GCAUGGAGGCACUCUGACCCAGCCAUGCCGCGUGAGUGAAGAAGGUUUUCGGAUUGUAAAGCUCUUUCGGGUGUGACGAUGAUGACGGUAGCACCUAAAGAAGCCCCGGCUAACUUCGUGCCAGCAGCCGCGGUAAUACGAAGGGGGCAAGCGUUGUUCGGAAUUACUGGGCGUAAAGGGAGUGUAGGCGGUUAUGUAAGAUAGUGGUGAAAUCCCAGAGCUUAACUUUGGAAUUGCCAUUAUGACUAUGUGGCUAGAAUUACAGAGAGGAUAGUGGAAUACCCAGUGUAGAGGUGAAAUUCGUAGAUAUUGGGUAGAACACCAGUGGCGAAGGCGACUAUCUGGCUGUAUAUUGACGCUGAGGCUCGAAAGCAUGGGGAUCAAACAGGAUUAGAUACCCCUGGUAGUCCAAGGGCGAAUUC
This 422-nucleotide ribosomal RNA is filed under the name uncultured bacterium. RNAcentral describes it as "SSU rRNA". It matches the Rfam family "Bacterial small subunit ribosomal RNA", at positions 368 to 808 of the family's 1533-position model. The record is from RNAcentral.